This 468-nucleotide ribosomal RNA is filed under the name uncultured bacterium. RNAcentral's name for it is "partial 16S ribosomal RNA". It matches the Rfam family "Bacterial small subunit ribosomal RNA", at positions 28 to 507 of the family's 1533-position model. The record is from RNAcentral.
GACGAACGCUGGCGGCGUGCUUAACACAUGCAAGUCGAACGGAAAGGCCCUGCGUUUGUGGGGUGCUCGAGUGGCGAACGGGUGCGUAACACGUGAGUAACCUGCCCUUGACUUUGGGAUAACUUAAGGAAACGGGGGCUAAUACCGUAUAGGAUCUCAUGCUGCAGGGUAGGGGUUGGAAAGUUGCGGCGGUUGGGGCUGGACGCGCGGGUGAUGAGCUUGUUGGUGGGGUAGUGGCUGACCAAGGCUUUGACGGGUAGCCGGCCUGAGAGGGUGACCGGCGUCCUUGCGCCUACGAUACGGCCCAGUCUGCUACGGGAGGCAGUGGGGGCGAACCUUGCACAAUGGGCGCACGUGUGAUGCAGCAGCGUCGCGUGCGGGAUGCCGGUUUUUGGGUUGUAAAACGCUUUCGCCUGUGACGACGCGUGAGUGACGGUACUCAGUAAAGAAGCACCGGCUAACUACGUG